UUCGGAGUGUAAACCACUGUCGGGAGGGGCGAAUACUUGGGCCUCGUAAGGGGAUCCAGGGGUGACGGUACCUCCAAAGGAAGCACCGGCUAACUCCGUGCCAGCAGCCGCGGUAAUACGGAGGGUGCGAGCGUUGUCCGGAAUCACUGGGCGUAAAGGGCGCGUAGGCGGUUUGGUAAGUCACGUGUGAAAUCCCGGCGCUCAACGCCGGGGCUGCAUGUGAGACUGUCAGACUAGAGCUCGGUAGAGGCAAGUGGAAUUCCCGGUGUAGCGGUGGAAUGCGUAGAUAUCGGGAAGAACACCGGUGGCGAAGGCGGCUUGCUGGGCCGAUGCUGACGCUGAGGCGCGAAAGCGUGGGGAGCAAACAGGAUUAGAUACCCUGGUAGUCCACGCUGUAAACGAUGGGUACUAGGCGUCGGGGGGAGCGACCCCCUCGGUGCCGUCGCUAACGCAGUAAGUACCCCGCCUGGGGAGUACGGCCGCAAGGCUGAAACUCAAAUGAAUUGACGGA
This 511-nucleotide ribosomal RNA is filed under the name uncultured bacterium. RNAcentral's name for it is "bacterial SSU rRNA". It matches the Rfam family "Bacterial small subunit ribosomal RNA", at positions 417 to 917 of the family's 1533-position model. The record is from RNAcentral.